RNAcentral lists this ribosomal RNA (460 nucleotides) under uncultured bacterium. RNAcentral's name for it is "partial 16S ribosomal RNA". It matches the Rfam family "Bacterial small subunit ribosomal RNA", at positions 338 to 795 of the family's 1533-position model. The record is from RNAcentral.
CCUACGGGAGGCAGCAGUGAGGAAUAUUGGUCAAUGGACGAGAGUCUGAACCAGCCAAGUAGCGUGAAGGAUGACUGCCCUAUGGGUUGUAAACUUCUUUUAUAUGGGAAUAAAACGUUCCACGUGUGGGAUUUUGUAUGUACCAUAUGAAUAAGGAUCGGCUAACUCCGUGCCAGCAGCCGCGGUAAUACGGAGGAUCCGAGCGUUAUCCGGAUUUAUUGGGUUUAAAGGGAGCGUAGGUGGAUUGUUAAGUCAGUUGUGAAAGUUUGCGGCUCAACCGUAAAAUUGCAGUUGAAACUGGCAGUCUUGAGUACAGUAGAGGUGGGCGGAAUUCGUGGUGUAGCGGUGAAAUGCUUAGAUAUCACGAAGAACUCCGAUCGCGAAGGCAGUUCACUGGACUGCAACUGACACUGAGGCUCGAAAGUGUGGGUAUCAAACAGGAUUAGAUACCCGAGUAGUC